This 292-nucleotide ribosomal RNA is filed under the name uncultured bacterium. RNAcentral's name for it is "partial 16S ribosomal RNA". The record is from RNAcentral.
GGACUACCCGGGUAUCUAAUCCUGUUUGCUCCCCUUGCUCUCGCGCAUCAGCGUCAGGUAAAAGCUAGAAAACCGCUUUCGCCACAGGUGUUCUUCCACAUAUCUACGCAUUUCACCGCUACACGUGGAAUUCCAUUUUCUCCGCCAUCCCUCUAGACUCACAGUUUCAAAUGCAGCUCCGAAGUUGAGCUUCGGAAUUUCACAUCUGACUUACAAAUCCGCCUACGCGCCCUUUACGCCCAAUAAAUCCGAUUAAUGCUUGCACCCUCCGUAUUACCGCGGCUGCUGGCAC